Molecule: ribosomal RNA, 433 nt
Filed under: uncultured bacterium
Lineage: Bacteria
Description: partial 16S ribosomal RNA
Rfam family: Bacterial small subunit ribosomal RNA
Source: RNAcentral
AACGAACGCUGGCGGCAUGCCUAACACAUGCAAGUCGAACGAGACCUUCGGGUCUAGUGGCGCACGGGUGCGUAACGCGUGGGAACCUGCCCUUAGGUUCGGCAUAACUCCCCGAAAGGGGUGCUAAUACCGGAUAAUGUCUUCGGACCAAAGAUUUAUCGCCUUUGGAUGGGCCCGCGUUGGAUUAGCUAGUUGGUAGGGUAAAAGCCUACUAAGGCGACGAUCCAUAGCUGGUCUGAGAGGAUGAUCAGCCACACUGGGACUGAGACACGGCCCAGACUCCUACGGGAGGCAGCAGUGGGGAAUAUUGGACAAUGGGCGAAAGCCUGAUCCAGCAAUGCCGCGUGAGUGAUGAAGGCCUUAGGGUUGUAAAGCUCUUUUACCCGGGAUGAUAAUGACAGUACCGGGAGAAUAAGCUCCGGCUAACUCCGUG